Caenorhabditis elegans is the source of this 21-nucleotide non-coding RNA. The record is from Ensembl. Lineage: Eukaryota; Metazoa; Nematoda; Chromadorea; Rhabditida; Rhabditidae.
UCGUAAUCGUAUGUUUCAACU